RNAcentral lists this transfer RNA (72 nucleotides) under Camelus bactrianus (Bactrian camel). It matches the Rfam family "tRNA". Rfam says of the family: Transfer RNA (tRNA) molecules are approximately 80 nucleotides in length. Their secondary structure includes four short double-helical elements and three loops (D, anti-codon, and T loops). RNAcentral also lists the same sequence under 3 other names. The record is from Rfam by way of RNAcentral. Lineage: Eukaryota; Metazoa; Chordata; Mammalia; Artiodactyla; Camelidae.
GUGGGUGUAGCUCAGUGGUAGAGUGCAUGCUUAGCAUGCAUGAGGUCCUGGGUUCAAUCCCCAGAACCUCCA